This 511-nucleotide ribosomal RNA is filed under the name uncultured archaeon. RNAcentral describes it as "bacterial SSU rRNA". It matches the Rfam family "Archaeal small subunit ribosomal RNA", at positions 346 to 859 of the family's 1478-position model. The record is from RNAcentral.
AUCUCUGCAAUCGGCGAAAGCUUGACAGGGUUACUCUGAGUGAUUCCCGCUAAGGGGAUCUUUUGGCACCUCUAAAAAUGGUGCAGAAUAAGGGGUGGGCAAGUCUGGUGUCAGCCGCCGCGGUAAUACCAGCACCCCGAGUGGUCGGGACGAUUAUUGGGCCUAAAGCAUCCGUAGCCGGUACUGCAAGUCUUCCGUUAAAUCCACCUGCUCAACAGUUGGGCUGCGGGGGAUACUACAGCGCUAGGAGGCGGGAGAGGCAAGCGGUACUUAAUGGGUAGGGGUAAAAUCCACUGAUCCAUUGAAGACCACCAGUGGCGAAGGCGGCUUGCCAGAACGCGCUCGACGGUGAGGGAUGAAAGCUGGGGGAGCAAACCGGAUUAGAUACCCGGGUAGUCCCAGCUGUAAACGAUGCAGACUCGGUGAUGGGCUGGCCUUGUGCCAACCCAGUGCCGCAGGGAAGCCGUUAAGUCUGCCGCCUGGGGAGUACGGUCGCAAGACUGAAACUUAA